AGAUGCCUAGUAUCCAACUGCACUUCUCCAUGUGUGCAUUGUCCCCUGAGCUGGCAAGAAGAUCCUACUAGUUGAUCUGCAUGCCAUGCCAGCUCGGCCUUGCACCCUGGGGGCCCAGCUAUUGUCCACACCAAGGGUGGCCUACAGAGGGAAGUGAGGACCUUGGGACUUCCUCCAGGACAGCCAUCACUGUCCAAAUCUCCACCUGCUGCAGAGCUGCCUCCAGUCAAGCCCUUGUUUCCGGCUUUCUGUGCCCUAAAUAAACUGCUAGGAUUGAGCCGUCAGCAUUCUGUGGUGGGCGUCGCUGCUGUGAGGUUGCCCUCGUGCACACAAGCUCCUCACA
This 343-nucleotide long non-coding RNA is filed under the name Pongo abelii (Sumatran orangutan). RNAcentral's name for it is "lincRNA". Lineage: Eukaryota; Metazoa; Chordata; Mammalia; Primates; Hominidae. The record is from RNAcentral.